RNAcentral lists this ribosomal RNA (1945 nucleotides) under human gut metagenome. RNAcentral's name for it is "bacterial LSU rRNA". It matches the Rfam family "Bacterial large subunit ribosomal RNA", at positions 1 to 1984 of the family's 2925-position model. The record is from RNAcentral.
UUAAAGUAGUAAGGGCGCAGGGUGGAUGCCUUGGCACUAAGAGCCGAUGAAAGACGUGAUAAGCUGCGAAAAGCUUCGGGGAGGAGCACAUAUCCAAUGAUCCGGAGAUAUCUGAAUGGGGAAACCCGGCAGAGGAAACCUCUGUCAGCGUGCAGUGAAUACAUAGCUGUACGUGGGGAACCCGGGGAACUGAAACAUCUAAGUACCCGGAGGAAGAGAAAGAAAAUUUAUCGAUUUCCAAAGUAGCGGCGAGCGAAAUGGAAAGAGCCCAAACCGUGAUGCGUGCAUCGCGGGGUUCGGACUGCGUUGUGGCAGACGUAAGAUAGGAGAACGGACUGGGAAGUCCGGCCGGAGAGAGUGAAAGCCUCGUAUCCGAAAUCCCAAGUCGCCUAGCAGGAUCCAGAGUAGGACGAGACACGAGAAACCUUGUCUGAACGAGCGGGGACCACCCCGUAAGGCUAAAUACUUCUUAGUGACCGAUAGCGCAUAGUACUGUGAAGGAAAGGUGAAAAGUACCCCGGGAGGGGAGUGAAAGAGAACCUGAAACCCUGUGUCUACAAGCUGUGGGACCUCUUUAUAUGAGGGACUGCGUACUUUUUGUAGAACGGUCCGGCGAGUUGUGCGUACUGGCGAGGUUAAGGACUUAAGGUCUGGAGCCGAAGUGAAAGCAAGCGUUAAUAGCGCGUCAAGUCAGUGAGUGCAGACCCGAAACCGGGUGACCUAUCCAUGUCCAGGUUGAAGCUUCCGUAAGAGGAAGUGGAGGACCGAACCCACAUCCGUUGAAAAGGGUGGGGAUGAGGUGUGGAUAGCGGAGAAAUUCCAAUCGAACCCGGAGAUAGCUGGUUCUCCUCGAAAUAGCUUUAGGGCUAGCCUCAUGAGAGUCUUAUGGAGGUAGAGCACUGAAUUGCCUAGGGGGCGUCAAAGCUUACCAAAGAAUAUCAAACUCCGAAUGCCAUCAAGAUGAUUCAUGGGAGUCAGACCAUACGAGAUAAGUUGGAUGGUCAAAAGGGAAAGAGCCCAGACCUACAGCUAAGGUCCCAAAGUACGUGUUAAGUGGAAAAGGAUGUGGGGAUUCUAAGACAACUAGGACGUUGGCUUAGAAGCAGCCAUUCAUUGAAAGAGUGCGUAAUAGCUCACUAGUCGAGAGUCCCUGCGCCGAAAAUGUCCGGGGCUGAAACACGACACCGAAGCUUAGGAAUGUGUAAACAUUGGUAGAGGAGCAUUGCUAGCGGGAUGAAGCCAUACCGUAAGGAGUGGUGGACUGCUAGGAAGAGAGAAUGCCGGAAUGAGUAGCGAGAUGAAGGUGAGAAUCCUUCAGGCCGAAUAUCUAAGGUUUCCAGAGUAAAGCUGAUCUGCUCUGGGUAAGUCGGGACCUAAGGCGAGGUCGAAAGACGUAGUCGAUGGAUAACAGGUUGAAAUUCCUGUACCGCAUAUAAACAGAACUGUGGGGACACAGACAGGGAAUGGAAUCCGGGAAUGGAUAUCCCGGUGCAAGCGAGGUAGGAGUGCUGUUGGCAAAUCCGCAGCACGAUCUGAAGACGUGACGCGUACCGAACAUAAGUAGGGAAGUCCAGGCCCCUGGCUGUCAAGAAAAGCCGCUAUUGUUUUAUAUGUGCCCGUACCGCAAACCGACACAGGUGGAUGAGGAGAGAAUCCUAAGGCCGACGGGAGAAGUAUUGUUAAGGAACUCGGCAAAAUGACUCCGUAACUUCGGGAGAAGGAGUGCCAUGAGAGUGGCCGCAGAGAAAUGGCCCAAGCAACUGUUUAGCAAAAACACAGGUCUAUGCAAAACCGCAAGGUGAAGUAUAUGGGCUGACGCCUGCCCGGUGCUGGAAGGUUAAGGGGAGAGGUUAGCGCAAGCGAAGCUUUGAACUUAAGCCCCAGUAAACGGCGGCCGUAACUAUAACGGUCCUAAGGUAGCGAAAUUCCUUGUCGGGUAAGUUCC